UUCCUAUCCCGCUCGUAGCGCCAGGGCUCAGCUCCGCUUCUUGGCCCCCUUCCUCUCCAAUCGACCCCUUCCGCUCCAAUCCUUGGCGGCGGCGGCGGCGUGAGGCUUCGCGGCGUAGCGGCGAGCGAGGAGCUGGUGGAGCGAGAGAAGAGUGGCCUCGACGCCUCCCACGACACCGCCCAUUCCUACCGCGUUCGCGACCUCGCAGUCCCCUUCCGCUCCAAUUCUCGGCGGCGGCGGCGGAUGAGAAGCCCGAGGCGUUGCAGUGAGUGGAGGAGCCGGUGGAGCGGGAGAUGAGCGGCCUCGACGCCGCCCACUCCCACUGCUUCCGCGACCUCCCGGUCUCCCUCGCUGCCGAGGAGGUCCUCUCCGCCCCUGGCCGCCUCUCCGUAAGGAGAUUACUUGUUUGGCAUGAAGGGGUAAACUUUGGAAUUGUCAGGGAAAAUUGCAACAAAUUGUACAAGCAAAUGGACCAUGCGUCUGCUCUUUCUUUUACUGCCCUGUUCAGGAGAUGAAUCUCAGCUAGCAUCUCCAUAGUUUCCUCUGAUAGUUCAUCGCUGAACAAGCUUCUCUUGGCAAGGAUAUCCAGAAGUGUUUUAGUAAGAGAGCACCACUUAUGCUUACUAGAGAACAACAAGAGGUAUUUGAACCGUGGAGUUGAGAAUUGAACCAAAUCCAAAUCAGAAGAACAUGCAGAAGCUCUCUGAAAGAGCCAGCGAAGGUCAUUAAGGAAGUGCAGAACUUGAUCCCUUAUCCCUUGGCUCUGAAGAGACGUCAACAAACUGUGAAUCCUCAAGCUCAACUUCAAGGUUUCUCAACACCUGACAAACAUGUGAACUCGCAAUGAUAACAGGGAAACUGUUUCCCCUGAACCUGUUCUCCACCUGUAAAGAUCAGGUUCUCCUGGCAAGUCAAAGGUCUCAACACCUGAAUCAUCAUAUAUGGUACCUGGAUCCUGCAUUGAUGAAAAGUUCACAAGAAAUAUUUAAGAUAGCUAUCACACAGUAUAAUGUAUGGAUGUAAUAGUUGUUCACGAAAAUAAUGUAAAAUGUGAUUUUCUCUGAAAUAUAUAUAUGGAUGUUUUGAAAUCUGCAGUGGAAUGGAUGUCUUAAUAA
Long non-coding RNA from Panicum virgatum (switchgrass), 1115 nucleotides. RefSeq lists it as uncharacterized. The transcript is spliced from 2 exons. The record is from RefSeq and is a predicted model, not a curated record. NCBI's taxonomy places the organism in Eukaryota, Viridiplantae, Streptophyta, Magnoliopsida, Poales, Poaceae.